UUGAUUCUGACUUGUUUGGUUUCUCAAAAGUAGAAUUGAUUCUGCCUCCAGAAUUGAUUCUACUUGAAGCUAGAAAUCGUAGCUUCUGAUUAUAGAAUUGAUUUUUACACUCAAAUUUUUUGUUCAACUCACUUUUUCAUGAAUAUAUCCAAACAUAAACCACUUCAGCUUAAAAUCAAUUUUGUCCAGAAUCAAUUUUACAGAAUCAAUUAUGCCAAAAUCAAUUCUCU
This 230-nucleotide long non-coding RNA is filed under the name Trifolium pratense (red clover). RNAcentral's name for it is "long non-coding RNA (TPRA_LNC004465)". The record is from RNAcentral. Lineage: Eukaryota; Viridiplantae; Streptophyta; Magnoliopsida; Fabales; Fabaceae.